AACGAACGCUGGCGGCAUGCUUAACACAUGCAAGUCGAACGAGACAUCUGGUUCUAGUGGCGCACUGGCGCGCAACGGAGGGGAACCUGCCCUUAGUUCCGGCAUAUCCCGCCGAACGGCGUGCUAAUACCGGUAAUACUCGUUGGUCCAAAGUUUCAUCGUCUUUGGUUGUGCCCGCGUUGGCUUAGCUAGGUGGUAGGGUAAAAGCCUACCAAGGCGACGAUGCAUAGCUGGUCUGAGAGGAUGAUCAGCCACACUGGGGCUGAGGCACGGCCCAGACUCCUACGGGAGGCAGCAGUGGGGAAUAUUGGACGAUGGGCGAAAGCCUGAUCCAGCAAUGCCGCGUAAGUGAUGAAGGCCUUAGGGUUGUAAAGCUCUUUUACCCGGGAUGAUAAUGACAGUACCGGGAGAAUAAGCUCCGGCUAACUCCGUG
RNAcentral lists this ribosomal RNA (433 nucleotides) under uncultured bacterium. RNAcentral describes it as "partial 16S ribosomal RNA". It matches the Rfam family "Bacterial small subunit ribosomal RNA", at positions 29 to 507 of the family's 1533-position model. The record is from RNAcentral.